AUGGAGGCAGGUGCCCAUGGGGACAUUGUGAUGACCCAGUCUCCUGUCUCCCUGGCUGCAGCUCCAGGAGAAAUGGUCACCUUCAACCACAAGCGCAGUCAGAGUGUGAAGAGCUCCUUAGCCUGGUACCAGCCAAAACCAGGACAGGCUCCUAAGCUGCUCGUCUACUCAGCAUCCACCCAGGCAUCUGAGGCCCCCAUCUGGUUUAGUGGCAGCGGGCAUGGGACAGGUUUCACUGUCACCAUCAACAGCCUCCAGUCACAAGAUGUGGCAGAUUAUUACUGUCAGCAAAAUUAUGGCAUUCUUGUCACAGUGCUUUAG
This is a non-coding RNA of Loxodonta africana (African savanna elephant), 321 nucleotides long. Lineage: Eukaryota; Metazoa; Chordata; Mammalia; Proboscidea; Elephantidae. The record is from the annotation of a RefSeq genome assembly.